Molecule: long non-coding RNA, 1221 nt
Organism: Homo sapiens (human)
Lineage: Eukaryota; Metazoa; Chordata; Mammalia; Primates; Hominidae
Product: long intergenic non-protein coding RNA 1823
Source: Ensembl
ACACUCAGGGUGAGAGGGAGAUUCUGAAGCUUUGUGUUUCUUGCUAGCUAGUCAAAGGAUAGAAAAAUAAUACAUGCCAAAAGAAAUUUGAGGAACAAAUUCAGCCCUGAGACAGGUCACGGAAACAGCCCUCCAGUCUUCCUCAAGAAAUGUAGACUGAAUCAGCAUUUACCCACCCCUGGAAAAACGCAGGAGCUGCGCAUUCCUGGGAUCUCAGCAGGGCUUUUGGGAAGAGCAGAACUGGGCUGGAGUCACGGUUUCUGGGCUGACUCUAGAUUUUCCCCGGCUUUUGCCACCUGUGAUGGCUGGAGAGUAUCUGAAGAUGACAGGAGCUGGGAAUAUGGUAGUGAAAAAAACACACACAAAAUCCAUGCCCUCCGGAAGCUUCAAAUGGAGGGAGAUAAAUGCCAGUGUCCUUAGCUUGUGAAGAUUGGAUGAUGGCCGGGGCCCUCAGACCCCUUGGCCCCUCCUUAACUGCAGGUCUUCAAAAGCCCAACACCUGUUCGUCAUUUCUGUGGCUUCCCAGGGAGUCUUACUCUUCUGCUUCAAGCUGCUGGGUUUGACUCUGAGCAGUUUCUGUGCAGCCACAAAGAUUCUUAUGUGAGACACACUGCUGCUUCAGAGUGCUCCAACCCAUCUCCCCUGAUUAAACACUAACCAGGGCUGCCACAGCAAAGUGGCUCAAAUGGGUGACGUCAACAACAGAUUUACUUUCUCAUAGUUCUGGAGGCAGGUGUCUAGGAUCAAGGUGGUGGCAAGGCUAUUCCUUCUGUUGCCUCCCUCCUUGCCUUGUGGAUGACCGUCUUCUCCGCGUCUUUCCAAGAUCUCUCCUCUGUGCAUGUCAGUGUCCUUGCUUCCUCUUCUUAUGAAGACACCGGUCAUGUUGGAAUGCAACAGAAGAGAGUGCACGGCUUCUGAGGUUGCAGCUUUUGGGAGAAGCCAUCUACCAUUGAUGACAGACAUGCCGUGUGGAAACCAAACCAGCCAUGUGGAGAGGCUACCUGGACAGAGGCACAGGGCCAGCAGCAGCUGUGGAGACAGACAUGUGAGCAAAGAAAUCAUCUUUGAUGUACAGCCAAGUUGAGCCUUCAGAUGACUCCGAUUUCAGCCACCUUUGGACUGCAACCACAUGAAAGACUCUAAAUAGAAGCCUCCCAGCUGAUCCCGGUUAACCCACAGUGCUGAAGGGGAUAAUAAUAAAUUGUUGUUUUAAGCCACUAA